RNAcentral lists this ribosomal RNA (499 nucleotides) under uncultured bacterium. Its description in RNAcentral is "partial 16S ribosomal RNA". It matches the Rfam family "Bacterial small subunit ribosomal RNA", at positions 28 to 507 of the family's 1533-position model. The record is from RNAcentral.
GACGAACGCUGGCGGCGUGCUUAACACAUGCAAGUCGAACGGGCCCGCCCCUGUUUUUGGGGGUGGGUUGAGUGGCGAACGGGUGAGUAUCACGUGAGUAACCUGCCCCCUGCUCCUGGAUAACUGCUUGAAAGGGCGGCUAAUACGGGGUGUGCCGGCUGGUCCGCAUGGGCCUGGUCGGGAUAGUUUCAUCUUCGGGUGUUUCGGUGGGGGAUGGGCUCGCGGCCUAUCAGCUUGUUGGUGGGGUGAUGGCCCAGCAAGGCGGUGGCGGGUAGCCGGCCUGAGGGGGUGGGGGGCCGCGCGGGGACUGGGACACGGCCCAGACGCGUGCGGGAGGCAGCAGUGGGGGGUAUUGCACAGUGGGCGGAAGCCGGAUGCAGCGACGGCGCGUGAGGGAUGGGGGCCGUCGGGUUGUGAACCUCUUUCUCCGGUGGUGAAGGCCCUGUCCGUUGCGGCGGGGUUGACGGUAGCCGGGUAUGAAGCGCCGGCUAACUACGUG